CCGACCAUAAGAUAAACUGGAAGCAAAGAAGGAAACAUCCCUAAUACAUUCAAGCAUAUACUGAGAAUCCAUAAUAUUUAAGCCGUUUAUGAUCCACAAGACAAGAAAGCACAAAAAUUUCUCAGUGGUUAAGGAAAUGAUUUGGAAGUAGAGUAGUUGAAAUUAUAUGAUCCAACACACGAUGCUCAAGAAUCAAAUUUUUGGGCUCAAUAAUUAGAAGGAUUUUCAAAUAACAUAGUUUUUGCCUAAUCCAGUGACACUUUAAUGUACUUAGGCUACGAACUUCCAACAAAAACAUCAAAUCCUUGAAUUUUUGCAGAGAAGACCUUUUUAAACUGAUAAGCAUCAAGAAUGAUGCAAGUGCCCAGAACCAUAGAUUCCAAAUCAUCUGUAUCAUUUUCAAAAAUAUUUCCAUAAAAUAGCCUAACAACUUCUUCAUAAACAGUUACUAGCAAUAUCAAAAAGAGAUGACAACUUUUGAAAAUCAAACAUGGAGAGAACAUCAUAGUGAAUAUCCUUCAUGUGAGAGAGACUUAUAGUGCAUUUAUAGGUGAUAAACUUGCAUUUGUAAGAUUCAAACUUGGAUUUCUCUGCAGGUCCAUAAAAGUUCAACUUGUCUUUAGGCCCAAACUCGACUUUUUCAAUCUUUAUUGCAUACAAAGCUUUUGGUACUAAGAUCCAUGGGUUUUUUCAUCCUUCUCAGUAACUUGAUUUUCAUAGUAUCACUUGAUUCACCAUCAAUUUUGAGUGGGUUAGAAUCCAAAGACGAUUAAAGAAAGAUGAUUUUCUGAGUAACUAGGGUGUUUUGCAAUCGUUGGUUUUUGCGAGUUGCGGAUGGAGAGGUUUUUGGUGUAGCCGUUUUUUAUUUAGAAGGUGCUUUUUGGAAUGAGAAAGAAGAGGGGUUUUAGGAGAACUGUUGAGGCAAUGAAGGAGU
Molecule: long non-coding RNA, 934 nt
Filed under: Nicotiana benthamiana
Lineage: Eukaryota; Viridiplantae; Streptophyta; Magnoliopsida; Solanales; Solanaceae
Description: long non-coding RNA (NBEN_LNC038792)
Source: RNAcentral